CUAUGAUCACACAAAGGGCAUAAAAAAAUCAAGGAUCUUAUUACAUGCUAUUCUAAGGGGAUGAUGUAUUGUCAACUUGCCCGUAUAAGAGCAGACUAAAAUAUUUUUUAAAGGUUAGACUAGCAAAACCUGUAGGUAAUUUAAGGAGGGGUUUUAGUAAUUAUUCACUACCAUAAAACAGUUUAAUAGUGAUUCCAGUCUGCUUAAAUAUCAAGGAAUGCAGUUAGUUAGAAGAAUUAUUGGC
Non-coding RNA from Pelobates cultripes (western spadefoot toad), 244 nucleotides. The record is from the annotation of a GenBank genome assembly. NCBI's taxonomy places the organism in Eukaryota, Metazoa, Chordata, Amphibia, Anura, Pelobatidae.